Molecule: small nucleolar RNA, 65 nt
Organism: Nerophis lumbriciformis (worm pipefish)
Lineage: Eukaryota; Metazoa; Chordata; Actinopteri; Syngnathiformes; Syngnathidae
Product: small nucleolar RNA SNORD58
Source: RefSeq, a predicted model, not a curated record
UCGCGAUGAUUACAACUUAGGACACCUUUGGAUACCCCAUGAAAACAACCAAAUAGCUGAGCGCC